AAAAAAUUGUAUUUUGGGUUGUUAGUUUUGAUCAUAGCAAAAGCUUUUGAAUUUUAUGUGGUGUUGCUUCUUGUUGUGGAGGAAUGUGAUUAUCGAAUUUUCUCUUUCGUUCAAACACUGUAACAUACAUGUCAAUGCUUCUUUCUAUAUUUUUUUUGUCGUGUUAUUAUUUUAAAUUUUCUAUUUUUUCUUUUCAUAGGAUUAACUUUG
Molecule: unclassified non-coding RNA, 210 nt
Filed under: Hevea brasiliensis (rubber tree)
Lineage: Eukaryota; Viridiplantae; Streptophyta; Magnoliopsida; Malpighiales; Euphorbiaceae
Source: RNAcentral